Non-coding RNA from Oryzias latipes (Japanese medaka), 2016 nucleotides. The record is from RefSeq and is a predicted model, not a curated record. NCBI's taxonomy places the organism in Eukaryota, Metazoa, Chordata, Actinopteri, Beloniformes, Adrianichthyidae.
AUAGGUUUUCUCGUUCCGUGUUGCUGUUGCGGCGAUCAGGCUUUGAUUGACAUGUGACAACAAACCGGAAAAAUGUUGAGUUCAGGGACGGACCAAAGAGUUCUUUAAAUUGAUUUUUCUGCAUUUUAAUUUAUUUACACUACGAGUCUAAUGGUGUGUGAUAAAAAAACUAUAAAUAUUAUGAUAAAUGAGAUGAAACAAUUAUUUUGAUGGAGUUUAUAAAAUAUUAGGAUCUAUUAUAUUCUUUUUUCUUUAACUGUCAAUUUUUUGACGUAUCUCAUAUAUUAUAGUAUUACAAUGAAGUGCUCUAAUUUAUCUGUUAAAAAAGGUUUCAUCACUGUUUCCUGUAGUAAUUCUCAAUAAUGUUUUAAAUAGGAUAUAUUAAAUAGGAUAUAUUAUCUAAAGUAAACAGGCUUUUAAGCCUUCAAUUUGCCCCAAUUGACAUGAAGUGCGCAUUUCGAAAAGCCAGUGAACGCAGCGUCAUACGGGCACCCCCACCCCAAUCCCCCGGAAACCCCCGGAUGAACCCGCAGGAAGGCGCGCGGCUGAAGAACUUCUUGGACAGCUGGAAGGAUAAACGUUGAAUGACGAGGCGUUUUUCCAUCUUAAAUUUAAAAGGCCGCAGCAUCACGGUGAAGGCCUCUUCUGUAGAGGACGGGGGCGGAAACGUCACGUGGUCUCCGCAGAGACUGGUCAGUUAUUUGGAGACAACAUGUACAAAUAGUUCCUGGACUGAUCUUCUGCUAACUUUGAGAUGGAGAGGCUGUCAGGUUCAUCUGUUUCAGGGUCCUGCAUGCUCUCCCUCCAUGUUGGCUGUAGCAGUGGAUGGAACUUGCAAAAUAUACUGUUUUAGAGCCAACUGGGGCUCAGUGGUUAUUUGGAAGAUGCGUUUUUGACCAAAAACACUGUGGUGACCUCCUUUGUGAACUGCAUUCAUGGGGAAAUAGAAUAUAAUCCUGGAGAUGGGAGAUGUGGAGCAGGUAAGUUUGUGGCAGCACCAGAGUCCUCCAAAAAGUCUUCUGGCAAAGAACCAGGUUGUGAGGGCAGCAGUCUUAGCAAAGAUGCCCACACUUCGCUCUCCUCCAGCUCCUCUUGGGGGACCCCGGGGCCAGCUGAGAGACGUAGUCUCCCCAGCGUGUCCUGGGUCUCCCUUAGUGAGACAUGCAUGGAACCCCCCCCCCAGGGAGGCGUCCUCCUCUGGAUGUAGAGAGGAAGUGGCUCCACUUAGAGCUCUCCAGGUGAGCGAGCUUCCUGAACCUGUUCCGUUGAGAUAUUUUCAUGAACCCCUUCUAUUUGCAGAAACGGCUUUCUCCACAGACCGUGCAGUUCUUCUGCUCUGAUGUAGUCUACGAGUUCUGAUCGCAUUUGGAGAAGGUUGUGGUUCUGUGUCCUGAGAUGCAGGACCUGUUGAACAUGUGUCCUUUUCAAGUUCACUCUUGGAUGUGUGAGUUUGCAAACAUACAUUUUGGUUGAAAUGAUGAGGAUCCGAGGAUGAAAUCAAGAAGGGACAACAUCAGGGAAAGGGACUGAACCGACUGCACAGCUUCCUCUCUUCAGCAGACACAUGUUCCCAGUACAUAUGUGUCAAAUAUUGACAUCCUCGCCGUUCAGGCCGGUGGCUGGAACAAGCGGAAGUCAGAAAAGCUGGAGCAGACGUGACCAGAAUGAUACCUCCAGGACCAAUCAAAAUGACCCAGAGAAAAACACUGAAGGGCUUUGUCUGAGCAUCAGGAAAACAAGAAUCAGCAUAUGGUUAUGGUGCCAUGGUGAAGAACUAAAGGCUCUAUGAUGUCAUGCUGCUGACCAGACUGUGGUUGGUGAAGUCCAGCAGCACUUCGAGUCCUUGAAGUGUGGUUGAAGAGCUCUCCUCCCAGCUUUUGGAAGGCAGCACAGAGGCAUUGAUGGAGAGAGAACAUGAGGGACUAAUUGUCUGUUGAGGAGGAGACUUUCUGCAGUUCAAGCCCCAGCUCCACCCCUAAAAAAAGCCUUAUAUGAAGGAAAACCUCAUUUCAACUU